Molecule: ribosomal RNA, 501 nt
Filed under: uncultured bacterium
Lineage: Bacteria
Description: bacterial SSU rRNA
Rfam family: Bacterial small subunit ribosomal RNA
Source: RNAcentral
AUUGAACGCUGGCGGCAUGCCUUACACAUGCAAGUCGAACGGCAGCACGGGAGCAAUCCUGGUGGCGAGUGGCGAACGGGUGAGUAAUAUAUCGGAACGUGCCCAGUAGUGGGGGAUAGCCCGGCGAAAGCCGGAUUAAUACCGCAUACGACCUGAGGGUGAAAGCGGGGGAUCGCAAGACCUCGCGCUAUUGGAGCGGCCGAUAUCAGAUUAGCUAGUUGGUGGGGUAAAGGCCUACCAAGGCUACGAUCUGUAGUUGGUCUGAGAGGACGACCAGCCACACUGGGACUGAGACACGGCCCAGACUCCUACGGGAGGCAGCAGUGGGGAAUUUUGGACAAUGGGCGCAAGCCUGAUCCAGCAAUGCCGCGUGCAGGAAGAAGGCCUUCGGGUUGUAACUGCUUUGUCAGGAGAAAUACUUCUGGGCGUAAUACCCCGGGAGGACGUGACGGUACCGUGAAGAAGUAAGACACCGGCUAACUACGUAGCCAGCAGCCGACC